This 500-nucleotide ribosomal RNA is filed under the name uncultured bacterium. Its description in RNAcentral is "partial 16S ribosomal RNA". It matches the Rfam family "Bacterial small subunit ribosomal RNA", at positions 30 to 523 of the family's 1533-position model. The record is from RNAcentral.
AUUGAACGCUGGCGGCAGGCCUAACACAUGCAAGUCGAGCGGUAGAGAGAAGCUUGCUUCUCUUGAGAGCGGCGGACGGGUGAGUAAUGCCUAGGAAUCUGCCUGGUAGUGGGGGAUAACGUUCGGAAACGGACGCUAAUACCGCAUACGUCCUACGGGAGAAAGCAGGGGACCUUCGGGCUUUGCGCUAUCAGAUGAGCCUAGGUCGGAUUAGCUAGUUGGUGAGGUAAUGGCUCACCAAGGCGACGAUCCGUAACUGGUCUGAGAGGAUGAUCAGUCACACUGGAACGGAGACACGGUCCAGACUCCUACGGGAGGCAGCAGUGGGGAAUAUUGGACAAUGGGCGAAAGCCUGAUCCAGCCAUGCCGCGUGUGUGAAGAAGGUCUUCGGAUUGUAAAGCACUUUAAGUUGGGAGGAAGGGUUGUAGAUUAAUACUCUGCAAUUUUGACGUUACCGACAGAAUAAGCACCGGCUAACUCUGUGCCAGCCGCCGCCGUAA